Long non-coding RNA from Myotis brandtii (Brandt's bat), 492 nucleotides. RefSeq lists it as uncharacterized. Lineage: Eukaryota; Metazoa; Chordata; Mammalia; Chiroptera; Vespertilionidae. The transcript has 3 exons. The record is from RefSeq and is a predicted model, not a curated record.
CAGCCGGCCCCGCCCAGGAGGACCUGGGGUUAUCUGUACCCCGAGGCAGAGUACCCGAAAGUUUACUUUUGUAUCAUUUAUUAUUGUGUUGUUUGUAUUACAACGGCAGACCUACUUUCGCCAACCCCUGUGCUAGCUUCGAACACCGUGUCUUCCCUUCAUGAGCGCCCCAGGUUCCAACCACCUCUCUGGGCAGCCCACCCCGAUUUCGGGGACACGCACAGGAGAGCCUGGGGCCCUGCAUAGAGUAGGUGCUCUCCACAUACUUGCUCUAGCUGAUGGGGAUCUCCGAGCACCCUUCCUGCAACCGCAAUGGGUGGCACAGGACAUAGAACUUGGAAAAUGGAAGUGCUAAAGUCUGCCAGCAUUUUUGGAAGGAUCCCUGGAUCUACCAGCAUUCUACCCAAGAGAUCUGGAGGACUUCACAGGGAGAGGCCUGCCCCUUCGGUCAGUCAUUCUCAGUGGGCUCACGAGGGAGACAAGCAACCAUGG